GAACUUUCAUACCAUGGAUUNUGUGCCUUCGGGAGCAUUGAGACACGGUGCUGCNNUAGGCGUGUCGUCAGACUCGCUGUCGUGAGAUGUUGGGUUAAGUCCCGUAACGAGCGCGNAACCCUUUNUCCCUUAGUUACCAGCACGUAAUGGUGGGCACUCUAAGGAGACUGCCGGUGACAAACCGGAGGAAGGUGGGGAUGACGUCAAGUCAUCAUGGCCCUUACGGCCUGGGCUACACACGUGCUACAAUGGUCGGUACAGAGGGUUGCCAAACCGCGAGGUGGAGCUAAUCCCACAAAACCGAUCGUAGUCCGGAUCGCAGUCUGCAACUCGACUGCGUGAAGUCGGAAUCGCUAGUAAUCGCGAAUCAAAUGUCGCGGUAAUACGUUCCCCGGGUCUUGUACAC
This 406-nucleotide ribosomal RNA is filed under the name Pseudomonas sp. Nfb1J. RNAcentral describes it as "bacterial SSU rRNA". It matches the Rfam family "Bacterial small subunit ribosomal RNA", at positions 993 to 1388 of the family's 1533-position model. Lineage: Bacteria; Pseudomonadati; Pseudomonadota; Gammaproteobacteria; Pseudomonadales; Pseudomonadaceae. The record is from RNAcentral.